Molecule: ribosomal RNA, 466 nt
Filed under: uncultured bacterium
Lineage: Bacteria
Description: bacterial SSU rRNA
Rfam family: Bacterial small subunit ribosomal RNA
Source: RNAcentral
CCCUACGGGGGGCAGCAGUCGGGAAUUUUGGGCAAUGGGCGAAAGCCUGACCCAGCAACGCCGCGUGAAGGAUGAAAUCCCUCGGGAUGUAAACUUCGCAAGAACGGGAAGAAUAAGUGAGAGUUAAUAUCUCUCGCGAUGACGGUACUGUUUGUAAGCUCCGGCUAACUCCGUGCCAGCAGCCGCGGUAAUACGGGGGGAGCAAGCGUUGUUCGGAUCUACUGGGCGUAAAGGGCGCGUAGGCGGCCACCGCAAGUCGAUUGUGAAAUCUCCGGGCUUAACCCGGAAAGGUCAACCGAUACUGCGGGGCUAGAGUGCGGAAGGGGCAACUGGAAUUCUCGGUGUAGCGGUGAAAUGCGUAGAUAUCGAGAGGAACACCUGCGGCGAAGGCGGGUUGCUGGGCCGACACUGACGCUGAUGCGCGAAAGCUAGGGGAGCGAACGGGAUUAGAUACCCGUGUAGUCAA